CGAAUAAUUUGAAUAUUUACUAGUGCAUGAUGCAAGUCCACUAUGAAAAAUAAUAAAGUUACAAAUUGUUUUCAGCAUACAAUCUUCUGAACAUGCCACUAACAUAUAAACCAUAAGUUUGCAUCCACAAAAUGUCGGACAGCUAGUCUGUAUGAUGAACAAAAAUAUGAGAAUUGCAAUGUACACAUACUACGCAUCCUUUUUACCUUUAUUGCGAUCGAAUUGUGUGAAUGGUGUCUUAAUGUUUGCACUAGGCAUCUUUAGUUUCAACUAUUGAAGUCUACGUAGGGGGAUCAGCAAUCUUCAACGGUUCAGCAAGGAUGAGAUCAUCAAUUGGCAAAGCAUCAAUAGAGAUAGCAACUGUAGGUACAGUGUUUGUAGCCUUUUGUUACACUAUCUGGAGCAACAUCAACCGACCUCUCGAAUCCAACUCCAACCGUCGACAUUCUGAACAUAUCAUCGGUCAGGCGGCCAACUGCUUCGGUUGCACCUUUUGGAUGCUGUGUGUCCACUUCUGUAUGUGGCGUCAAAUUGUGAUCGUAUCAAUUAUGGUGGGACACAUCUCCACAGCAAUAGUCCUAAAAUGUAUCGUUCUCAUCGAUGAAAUUGUGUCCUCCAAUGCCAGUAGCCACUUCAUCAAGCCUACGUCGAAUCACAUUGACCUCAUCAGCCACAUGUUGCCUCAAAUCGUGCACAUGGGCCCACAUAUCAUUUUCCAAACUAGUAAAUCUCGCAUUCAUUUCCUCCCUCAACUCGUCCAACCUGCACUCAAAGGCCUUUCUUUGUUCAUUCAAGAGAUAUCUGAUCUCAUCCGAAGACACGGGCCUCAAAGGUGCUCGGUGGCACGAGGUAGAAGAAGAUGGUCGGUUGACGAUCGAGUCGCCAUGGUCUUCAUCUCUACCUUCAGUGGGAUGCAAAUCUUUGAGACGAAGUCCACUUGUGUUGCCUCUUCGAGACUUUGUCGUUGAUUGUUGUUCACAUUGUGCAUAACUUCACCUUCUGGUGGGCAAUCCUGCAUUUCUAUUGUCUGAGCAAUGAGAUUGUCUAGAGCUUGGUCUAUUUUGUCUGGUAAAGCAACCAACCCAAUAAUAUAUGGCUACAAUUCUUCUGCAGCAGUAGCGCGCAGCGUCGUCCAUAAGUGCACCUAUAAGGGAAAGACAAAAUCGUCAAAAUGAGAUAUUAAUCAUUCUGAAAUUGUAACAGGAAUUUUAUAUGCAAGAUGCUCACAUGUGUUUUCUUGAAGAAGUUUGAAUAUAUUCUGGACUGCAGUUGUCUUGUGACAGUCCAUCGCAACAUCCUCGAAAUAUCGUCACCUGUCUUUGUCGCAAAUCGAGCUCCCAGCUCCGGCAUAGCCUCGUACCUCCACAACUUCAUGACGAACAGAAUGAAAGUUACUAUACAGAGGGACAUAACAUGGGAUGGAAAAAAUGAAAUGAAAAUAUGGAACAUGUGUACCUGAACAGCAAGAGGGAAACCGUACAACGUCUAAAACAUUCGGUCACAAUUGUGGACCUUUGCUAGGUCUGCCUUUCUCACCCAUCCACCGAGAAGUUAUUUGACAAGAAGUUUGAAACACUGUCCCCAUGAGUAGGCAUUGAAGAAAUCCAAAUCAUCCACAAUGAAGAGAGUUUCGGGAUGUAUCCUCAUAUUUGGGUCUCUACAAUUGAAGACCCCUUCAAUAAUCACUGCCAACCGAAGUUUGUAACGAUCAUUAUGUUGGGUAUAUUUUAGAAAAACGUUCUCCAUGUCAGUACACGUUACCCAGUCUUUACGGAUAAAUAGUUUGUCCCAUAGCCGGGUUUUUCCUAGGAUGUUGUCUAUCACCUUUCGGUACUUCAUCACACUUCAACCCAUUGAUUAAUGCAAACUCCGGCUGUUCGAAUCAUGCAAACCUUUGGUUCACCUUGAACCAAACCUCAAAACUUUUGUUAGAAAACACCGAUCAACUAUUCACCAUUUGUGAAUUAAUUGCCCAGACAGUUUCAGCUCUAACAACUUGGCAACAUGUCCUAUGCAACUUUCCUUGAAUAUAUGCUUUUGUUGUGCAUCGAGUUUGUCGAGGACAAUUGUUAUAUAUUUCAUGUUGCUGACUUGUGAAACCUACGUCGGGACGCUUUUCCUC
Molecule: long non-coding RNA, 2122 nt
Filed under: Olea europaea (common olive)
Lineage: Eukaryota; Viridiplantae; Streptophyta; Magnoliopsida; Lamiales; Oleaceae
Description: long non-coding RNA (OEUR_LNC010377)
Source: RNAcentral